AAUCAUUUCGUAUUGAGUAGGCAUUGUAUUUGUAGACAAAUUUAUUUGAUGAAAACAAUUUGUUUUGCAUUUAUUGAUUAAUUUUAAUGUAAAAAAAAAGUUAUUCGCUGUGUUUUGUAAAAAUUAAUUGUGAUAAUUAACACAAAAAAAAAAUGUAUCAAAAGAACGUUUGGAAACUAGUGUAAUAAAUAGCGAUCCAGUUCCUGUGCAAUGUGAAAAUGAAAGUGAGAGUGAACAUGAAAGCGACGAAGCUCCAAUUAUUUCUACAAUUGAAAAACUUAAUAUUCAAGAUGAGUUAGCUAAGUGGAGUGUGAAACAUUUAAUUUCGAACUCUGCAUUGAAUGAACUUUUAACAAUUAUAAGGAGGAUGAUACCAAGCCUACCAAAAGAUGCCAGAUCAUUAAAAAAAAACCCAAGAGAUGCUCCAGUUGUGUCAAUUGCAGGAGCUAACCAAGUAAUAAGUGCAAUUCAGCCUAUGUUCAUUAGGCUAACAAGCGAAGUGCAAAGCUUGCGUAAGGAGUUGCAGGAGCAAUGCCAUCCGUUCCAUUCAAGGAUAUUGGAUAUAGUUUCUCGAAUUCGAAAAAGGACUCCAAGAAAUAAACAAAGCAUUUAUUUCUUUUGAAAGCGAACUGAAACUUGUUGCCAAGGCACCAAAUUUCGUAAAGAAUUGCUGGAAAAAAUAAUAACAGAUGAAUUGGGAGAACGACUCCGCUGGAAACGAACGGAGACAAAGAGAAGUGUUCGCAAUUUUAGUACAACAAAAGCAAUACGAAGUAUGCAACUCUAUCAUUGGGCUACACGGAGGACACAUUCAUUAAAGACACGCGCACUUUCUUUCAAUUCGCUAAAAAUCGUAUAAAGCUGCGAAACGAAUACAAAAACAAAAAAAUAAAAUCUAAAUUUAAAAAAAAAAAAAAACAAUUAUAUUAUAACUUUCACUAAAAUUAGUUGUACUAAUUAUCUUAAUUUAAAACACAACUAAAU
Musca domestica (house fly) is the source of this 984-nucleotide long non-coding RNA. RefSeq lists it as uncharacterized. The record is from RefSeq and is a predicted model, not a curated record. Lineage: Eukaryota; Metazoa; Arthropoda; Insecta; Diptera; Muscidae. The transcript is spliced from 5 exons.